Molecule: ribosomal RNA, 419 nt
Filed under: bacterium
Lineage: Bacteria
Description: partial 16S ribosomal RNA
Rfam family: Bacterial small subunit ribosomal RNA
Source: RNAcentral
UGGGGGAUAUUGCACAAUGGGCGAAAGCCUGAUGCAGCGACGCCGCGUGGGGGAUGAAGGCCUUCGGGUUGUAAACUUCUUUUGCUCUGAACAAGGCAUGCUAAUGGGUGUGUUGAGUGUAGGGGUUGAUUAGCGCCGGCUAACUACGUGCCAGCAGCCGCGGUAAUACGUAGGGCGCGAGCGUUGUCCGGAAUUAUUGGGCGUAAAGGGCUUGCAGGUGGCUGGUUGCGUCUGUCGUGAAAGCUCAUGGCUUAACUGUGGGUUUGCGGUGGGUACGGGCUGGCUUGAGUGCAGUAGGGGAGGCUGGAAUUCCUGGUGUAGCGGUGGAAUGCGCAGAUAUCAGGAGGAAUACCGGUGGCGAAGGCGGGUCUCUGGGCUGUUACUGACACUGAGGAGCGAAAGCAUGGGGAGCGAACAGG